AUGCGAUAAGUAAUGUGAAUUGCAGAAUUCAGUGAAUCAUCGAAUCUUUGAACGCACAUUGCGCCCGCUAGUAUUCUGGCGGGCAUGCCUGUCCGAGCGUCAUUUCAACCCUCGGGAGCCCCUUUGCGGGGGCUGCCGGUGUUGGGGAUCGCCCGCCGCCACGGUGGACGUCCCCUAAAACGAUUGGCGGUCUCGCUGUAGCCUCCUCUGCGCAGUAGCACUUGUUCUCGCAGGCGGAGCGCGGCGCGGCCAAGCCGUUAAACCCCCAACUUUUUUACUAGGUUGACCUCGGAUCAGGUAGGAAUACCCGCUGAACUUAA
Molecule: unclassified non-coding RNA, 320 nt
Filed under: uncultured Scytalidium
Lineage: Eukaryota; Fungi; Ascomycota
Description: partial contains 5.8S ribosomal RNA, internal transcribed spacer 2, and large subunit ribosomal RNA
Rfam family: 5.8S ribosomal RNA (bases 1-102)
Source: RNAcentral